CAGGGGAGGCGGAGGCGCGGCCGCCCCGCAGCGCGGCCCUGGUCCGUGGCUCAGUGCUGCCUUGAAUAUUUUCCAUCUUGUACUUCCCAGCAACAUACCUUAUGAAAAAUACCUGAAGCCUCACAGAUGCAGAACAGGAAGACUUACGUUACUGAAGAGACAGGUGCUGUGACUUUCCCCUGACACACAUGGCAUUUGCCACUUUUACUAAGACGCUGAGUCAGCAAGCUUUUAAAAGCAGCUUUUUAAUUAAUUGACAAUAAUAUAGAAAGUGAUGCUAUUUACAGUUUUCUUUUAAAAUAAGAUUUUUAGGGUACUUUGAAGCAUGAUUUAAACCUGGGUAUGAUAACAGUAUUAAUUCAUCUCACCUCACUUAAGGCUGCUGCAAUGGAGACAUCAAGAUCUAAACUACUUGUUCCUUAACACAGAAAAAUAGGAGCAAUUUUAGGGCACAAAUCAUCUGACCUAUUCUGGGUGCCCACUUUCGGAUGACUUUGACUCAUGCUCUGAAGAUGCUUAAUUCUCCCUCAUGUAUGAAGGGAGCCUAUAUUAGAUACAGGCUUUUACAUGAUAGAGGUCUAUAUAGGACUGGAUAGAUCCCACCUGCUGCACUAUACAUGUGAUUCAGCAUUUCCCCAGAAUGGCUGGUGAGAGCACGAAACUAUUAAUAUAGUUGCACAGAUUAAUCCUCCAAGGAAAAUUCAUGUCAUCUCAGCAAUGAAAAGGUACUGAAAGUCAUGAUUAUGAAACAUGAUAUUGCCUGGAAAUAAAUGUUUGUGAAAACCUGUAGCCACUUGAUUCAGACUAACUGGAUUAAUGCAAGAAGUGCCUACAGUUUUAGAAAACUUGAGCUAGAGAAAGGUAUUUUCUUUCUUGCUUCAAAAACUGUCGAAAAAUUAGCAGUAUUUAUGACAAAAAAAACCAACCUGUAAGAAUCCCAGAAGACAACAUAAAAUGGCCCGUUUCCCCCAUCACCAAAUGUUCAGGCCAGAGGAGUGUAAAACAUGCAGUUUUGAUGGAAACCUCCAAGAAAAUGCCAUCAUCAGUGUCACCAUGUGAUACACAGCCACAGCAGGGUAUCUGACCUGGAUUUCUUAGGGCAUUAGCGUAUCUUGCCACAUACAGAAACUGGCGAAUCUACAUUAAAUAAGUGUUAGCAGAUCUUUCUGACCAUCCCAGGGAAGGAGUUAUCAGAUUACAUGUGUUAAGAUAUCUUAAGUACAGAAUUAAUAAUGCCAUUAUUGAUCAGAUAGUGAAAUGCAUCGACACAGAUGUUGAUAGUCUUUUGAAAUGUGGGUCCUUGGUGGUGGCACUUGGAGGUAGACAGGGUGAUGUGUGAAAGCUGCCAAAUGUUUAAAGUUUUUCCAACGUCUGUAUCUGUCAAUGGCUUGUAUCUGCAUUUUAGUAAUGAAUAGAUAAUCCAUGAUGUUGCAAAUCCCUCCUGCUCAAGAGCCAAGUACCAUUUGGAAAGAGAAAAGGGGAAAAGAUCAGUUGCCAUGUGUGUAGGUGACCACAGAGGCCUCCGCGUGGCAAAUGACUCGUGUAUCACAGCUCACAGAGCUCCUCACUGUGAGAACAACUUUGCCCCUGCUUACCCCUUGCCUUGUGCACCUUUCUUGCCUAAGCACAAUGUCUCAUCAAAGAGGUUUCUUUCUUCAUGCUCCCAUA
Long non-coding RNA from Melopsittacus undulatus (budgerigar), 1668 nucleotides. RefSeq lists it as uncharacterized. The transcript has 3 exons. NCBI's taxonomy places the organism in Eukaryota, Metazoa, Chordata, Aves, Psittaciformes, Psittaculidae. The record is from RefSeq and is a predicted model, not a curated record.